Tympanuchus pallidicinctus (lesser prairie-chicken) is the source of this 5033-nucleotide long non-coding RNA. RefSeq lists it as uncharacterized. The record is from RefSeq and is a predicted model, not a curated record. The transcript has 4 exons. NCBI's taxonomy places the organism in Eukaryota, Metazoa, Chordata, Aves, Galliformes, Phasianidae.
UCGCGGCGGUGCGGGCCGAGAGAUCGGGACGCGGCCGCGCUCUGCGCCGGACAGCAGGAGCCGCGGCCGAAGCGCCCCGCCCCGCACGGCCGCGCCUCGCGGGGAGGCCGCACCUCGCGCUCGUGCGCGUUGAGCCCGCGGGCGGAGGCGCUGCGGGGCCUCUCCAGGGCCCGGCCGCCUCACGGAAGGAGCGUUUCCCGGCUGUCGGGCCGACUGUGCCGAGCUGCAGGACGGGGCCUUUGUCUCCCGUUAUAUUCGAGGAGGAGUUCUCUCUCCGUGCCCUCCGGGUGGUUGUUUAGACCGCCGUUAACUCAGCCCUCGGCCUCCCCUUCUCCAGACGAAAUGAAAUGACAUUCCUUCAUCCUUCCUGCCAGCCCCCGUGUCCCUGAGCCACCCCACCUGAAUGUGUGAUGCCAUUUCGUGACGGGACCGAGCAAGCGCUGAGGGCGGCCACCGGCGGCUCAGAAAUGGUCUCCUGAACCUCCUGACCUGAAGUCAUCCAAAGGUGCUCUCUUAAACGGUAGCAGACAACAUAUAAACAGGGAAUCGAAGGCACAGUCAGACAGGAUCCUUCUCUGUCUCUCUUAUUCCAGUGGCACUCAAGUCCUUCUCUGUAUUUCCCCUUCAUGUGACAAGACCCAGACCUGCUGCCUGGAUGGCGUCCAGCCCUUCACCCGCACCCCCGGCCUCAGCCCAGCUUCCUGUGUUUGCAUGGCAGCUGCAGAGCUCCUAGGCUCUGGCGCUCAAAAGCGGCAUUCUCUGACAAAGAUGCUGGCUGACGUGGCCAGGAGAUGCAUGUAGGAACACACAAAUGGACUUUAAGAAAUGCUAUUUUCAAUUGAAGUGCUAUUUUCAAUUCUUCAGUUCAACUUUGAUGAUGGAUUUUCUAAAACCUUCUGGAACUAAAGACAGGCAAUGGCUCAAUUUUCUCUUACCAAUUAGGAUUCCCAGGCCAAAGGAGCCAUGACACAGCUUGGUUUGCCACAGGCCUUGGGAACUCAGAGGUGUGCAGACGUACCUGAUGUACUGGCCUAACUGCAACAGUUGUUUAACACUGAGGUGAGUGUAAGGGGGGUCUGCAGAGAAAAGGAAAGUGAGAACAGUCAGGGCAGCCAGAGGGAGAUCCAGUCCUUGGGAAUCUCUGGGAUGGAGCAGGCUCUUGCACUGAUACUUGUGGCUGAUGGCCUGGAGGCUGGGGGCUGCAGAAACAGCCAAAAAAUGCACUCCAGUGUGGGAGAAGUGAUGUGGCAGUGGCUUUUCUGUGGCAGGCUCCCCUCUGCCUUGAGGAGUGUGAAACCCUUCAAGGCUGGGCUGCUGCUAAAUGCUUUGGGUAUGGUGUAUGCAUCUAACACACAAAGGCAUUUGAAAGGCACUGUGAGCCAAGGCCACAUGGACAAUGGUCAGAAUGACUGCCGUGCAAAAUUUGGAUACCAAGGCAUGGACCAAAUCAUCCGAUUGGGAAGUCUAGGAUUAAAGAGAAUGGCUAAACUUUAUAUUUUAUUUCCAUUCAUCAUUUCUGCUUAUGUGGGUGGACAAGGAGAGAAUGAGUUUCCUGGGGAGGGCAGCAGAUAAAAGAGGCACACAUUUCCUUGAAAGAUGUGUGUCUUUUUUCUUCUUUGCUCCUAGGUUAAUAUGCCAUAAAAGGGCUGGAGGUAAUCCUGAUAGCUUUUCUAUCAUGAGCAAGAAACUGGCUAGUUCUUCACUUUUGUAGGGUCUUUCUCCCUUUGAUUGCUAGCUAUGUGCCGAGAGAGAAGUAAGUCUUUCUACCAUGGAUUUCAUGACUGUCUCAGGAUGAGUAGGCUGAAUUCUUGCAAAGGAGAGCUUGAGGUGCGAAAAAAAUGGACACCAAUGGAUUUGGUGUUCAGGCAUGUUUCCAAGCCUCUGUAAAACAUCUGACUGUUAAAGGGGAGAAAGCUGUUCCCUUAAGGGGCUGGGGUGUGGGUGAGUGUCUCCAGAGCCUGCUGCCUUUUCACCAUCAGAGCUAUAGGGUAAAUAGAGGGGACUUGGACAGACCUUGUGCUGGGAGAAGGGUGGGGAGAAGGAGGGACAUGCUUGCAAUGCAUGCAUCUUCUGAGGCUUGCCUGAAGCAGGAAAGAGCUGAGCACAGCCCUGUGCAGGCCAACACCAGCUCACACAGAGAGGCGUGGAGUGGAAGAGCCUUCCAUGGUCUGUUCCUCAUUCCACCAAAAGCCCCCUGUCUUUGACAGGAUUUAUGCACAGUGGAUCUGCUGGAACAAUUAACAAUUAAUUUCAAUUAAUGUGUAAGAUGUUGAGGAUAUGCAAACCGCCUGCCUAUGCUGUUGGGGUCAACAUCUGGCAGAGGAUCUGCAGGGUUCCCUGAGACAGGGAAGGAUUUUGCCCUUGGGAUGCUGUGUUCUGUGGCAUCUGUCACUGAGCUGGGAUCUUUGUGCCAGAAGCUCCUUUUGCAGAGUGGGACAGAGCCCAGGGCAGUGCUUUGCUCUGCAGACAUCCCUGAGAAGUAGCAGGGUUUGGGAUGUGGCAGGAGAGGUGGAACCUGUGCUGAGCUCAGAUGUUCCCUCUGUCUUUUAGGGUAGCAAACAUGAUGGGGGUUUUGCAGCAGCAAGGUAGGGGACAGAUGGGCUUUGAUGAAAUUAAAGCAGCUGGGAGGAUGAAACAGUUGUGUUCUGAAACUGUGGCUCUUCAUGGGGGAUCCCAGUUUGUGCCUGAAUGAAGAACAAACGGAUUUUUCUGGCUGACAAAGGGAAAAUAGGAAAGAUGAAGGAAAAAAAAAAACCCCACAAAAAAAACAAAACAGAAAAGAAUGGGUCUGGAUGAGUCAGAGACACAAACUUUAAAGAGCAGUUGCACUGAGGUGGAGCAGAAAAGUCUGGGCGCUGGUUGAUGACAGACACAGAACCUCUUUACUGAAAGAGGCAGUGGAUUUUGCAGUAGAGAGAGGCAGAUGGCAAGUAUUUUUAUGUAAGCCACAAUUUUGACCAUAAGCAGAAUGAAAAUCUGAAAGAAAUGUGCCAGCCUUAAGACUAAGCAGAGAUGAUGACAGCUAACAACCGUGGUGAUGAAGCUGGAGAAAUCUGCCUCUGAGACAAAAUGAGGAGCCGAAGAGGGCACCAAGAUGUGAUAGCUGGUGAUGCAGACAGAGAAAAACAGGGAUGGGAGUAUUAUUCAGGCUUCAUCCUGUCAGAACCACAGUUGAGAUUGUGUUGGUGCCUACACCCAAGGCCUUGCCUUAUUCAUGUCAUAAGUCAAAAUGCCUGAGGAUUUCUAGAAGAGCAUGAUUUUCCAGAAGAAGCGAGGAAAGAAUUUAAUCCUAAAUUGUUUCUCAAAUGAUAACAGAAUGGCAAGCAUCUCUGGAGAUGGUGGCUGGUCGUCUUCACAACAACCAGGAAAAAUACUACUGAAAGGAUGCAUGUGCAGUGCCUUUUCAUAAAGCCGUAUGUCCCAGUCUCCAAAAUGCCCCAGAUGCAGAAAAACCUCACUUUUAAAAACUGCCCCAUAGGCCUCACAGGUCUCUUGUGCUGAACUUCCUUCAUCUGUAGAACCACUGUGGUCCCAUUGGGAUUACAGCCAGUGAAGAAGAAAGAGACGGGGAUCAAAUGCCUGGGCAUUCAACCAUCUCUUCCAUGAGGUGCAGGGCAGAGUGGGGUCUGGAUCAAACAAUUGCAUCUGGUAUUUCCUACUCCCACAGGCAGGGGCCGUGCUGCUGUCUGGACAAAGCAUUACGGUAUGGGGCAUUUCCACAGAGAUGUGUGUCAAAAGCAGAGAGAAGCCAGGUGACCUCCUGAAGCAUCCUGUCCUCUCUGCCAUGAGAAGCACUUCUGCCCUUCUCUCCCUCCACCUGUGUUCUUCUCCAGGCAUGCAGAGCCAUCCACUGGCCAUGUCCUAGUCGGUGCCUCCCUGGCCCUCCAGCUUUGUGCUGUCCGUGUGUCCAAAAUGCACACAAGGAAUGCUCCCUGAACCCUGCUGCGCCCUGUGCCUGAGUGCAGCAUCCCCACUCUCUUUCCAUUUUUUCCCUAAUGAUUCUGGCUGCAUUAUGUGAUAUGGAGAGCAAACCCUGAUCCUACCAUCUGCUCUCCCGCUCUGCCUGCUGGCUCCAAGGCCUGCCUCACCACUUUGGGGGUUUACCUGAGGUGGUGAAGCUCUGGGGUGGGGCUGUCCCUUUCCCUUGGUCACCACUGCGGUGUGGGCAUGGCUGUGUGUCCUUGCACAGGGCUGAACGCUGCCUCUGAGCCACCUCCAGUGAGGUGGCACCAUGGCGGCUCUUGCUCAGCGCAGAAUCCAGUGUGACAACAAAUAUGAAAUCCUCUGCAGCUAAUUAAUUAUCUCAGAUCCCUUCCAUAUUACAGGGGGUGGGCAGCAAGGCUUUGGGAGUGCAGAUACUUUAGGAUCAGCUUUGAAAAUAAACCCGAAUAAGCCACUUUUUUGGAGAUUAAACUGACUCCUCCUGGAAACCACUGCAGGGGAAGAGCACUUGUUUAUUAAAAAGAGACAGAAAGGAUCAGGGCAUGAAAGGAGGCUUUGUCUCCUCGGCCAUUACCUUACUCCAUUUGACGGUACUUUAAUGCUUUUUUCUUCAGGUGUGCAGGGAACCUCAGACACAAAACUGCCACCUUCAAAAGCAUCAGGCACGGAGGGUUCUGCGCAUCAGGGAAGCCCAUACCACCUGCAGCAGCCCCCAAAUGAGUGCAUCUUUGUCGGCACCGGGCCGGGGGGCUGCGAAUACCUAGGGGUUCGGGAGGAGUUCGCUCCAUGUCUGAUCGGGCUGAGUCCCCGGGGACCCCCCCGGCUCUGCAGGAGCACGGGAAGGCCAGAGAGGAGGGAUCCCCUCUGCUGCACAGGGCAUCCCCGGGGGACUCUCCGGCAUCUCCUCCGUCAAGGGCAGGGAAUCGAGGUGGGGUCCCGCUGUCCGGCGCCCCCGAGAUGCGGUGCUAACCGGCGAGCGGGGACCGGCCGUGAGCGCAUCCCUGCGGGGGCUGCAGACUGCGGGAGCAGCCGGGGCGGGGGAACUGCAGGGGCAUCCCGGGGAGGGGAGGAGUAGGGGGAAGCCGUAAGAA